Molecule: ribosomal RNA, 264 nt
Filed under: uncultured bacterium
Lineage: Bacteria
Description: partial 16S ribosomal RNA
Rfam family: Bacterial small subunit ribosomal RNA
Source: RNAcentral
UACAACGAGUCGCAAGCUCGCGAGAGUAAGCUAAUCUCUUAAAGCCGUUCUCAGUUCGGACUGUAGGCUGCAACUCGCCUACACGAAGUCGGAAUCGCUAGUAAUCGCGGAUCAGCAUGCCGCGGUGAAUACGUUCCCGGGCCUUGUACACACCGCCCGUCACACCAUGGGAGUUUGUAACGCCCAAAGUCGGUGGCCUAACCUUUAUGGAGGGAGCCGCCUAAGGCGGGACAGAUGACUGGGGUGAAGUCGUAACAAGGUAAC